GACAAACGCUGGCGGCAUGCCUAACACAUGCAAGUCGAACGGACAGAACAGGGAAGCUUUUCGGAGUGGAACUGGAAAGUUAGUGGCGGAUGGGUGAGUAACGCGUGGACAACCUACCUUGUAAAGGGGAAUAACCUCGAGAAAUCGAAGCUAAUACCCCAUAAUAACCUUGCUUCGCAUGAAGUAAGGAGGAAAGGCGGCCUUAGCGCUGUCGAUACAAGAUGGGUCCGCGUCUGAUUAGCUAGUUGGUGAGGUAACGGCUCACCAAGGCGACGAUCAGUAGCCGGCGUGAGAGGGUGAACGGCCACAUUGGGACUGAGACACGGCCCAAACUCCUACGGGAGGCAGCAGUGGGGAAUCUUCCGCAAUGGGCGAAAGCCUGACGGAGCAAUGCCGCGUGAGUGAAGAAGGCCUUCGGGUUGUAAAACUCUGUCCUUAUCGAAGAGAGAGUGUUGUAGUAACUGACAAUACUAGGACGGUAGAUGAGGAGGAAGCCCCGGCUAACUAUGUG
Molecule: ribosomal RNA, 511 nt
Filed under: uncultured bacterium
Lineage: Bacteria
Description: partial 16S ribosomal RNA
Rfam family: Bacterial small subunit ribosomal RNA
Source: RNAcentral